UAAUACGUAGGGGGCAAGCGUUGUCCGGAUUUAUUGGGCGUAAAGAGCGUGUAGGCGGCCUGGAAGGUCCGUUGUGAAAACUCGAGGCUCAACCUCGAGACGUCGAUGGAAACCCUCAGGCUAGAGUCCGGAAGAGGCAAGUGGAAUUCCCGGUGUAGCGGUGAAAUGCGCAGAUAUCGGGAGGAACACCAAUGGCGAAGGCAGCUUGCUGGGACGGUACUGACGCUGAGACGCGAAAGCGUGGGGAGCAAACAGGAUUAGAUACCCUGGUAGUCCACGCCGUAAACGAUGGGCACUAGGUGUGGGAGGUGUCGACUCCUCCCGUGCCGGAGCUAACGCAUUAAGUGCCCCGCCUGGGGAGUACGGCCGCAAGGCUA
This 377-nucleotide ribosomal RNA is filed under the name uncultured bacterium. Its description in RNAcentral is "bacterial SSU rRNA". It matches the Rfam family "Bacterial small subunit ribosomal RNA", at positions 521 to 896 of the family's 1533-position model. The record is from RNAcentral.